This is a long non-coding RNA of Oncorhynchus keta (chum salmon), 599 nucleotides long. RefSeq lists it as uncharacterized. Lineage: Eukaryota; Metazoa; Chordata; Actinopteri; Salmoniformes; Salmonidae. The record is from RefSeq and is a predicted model, not a curated record. The transcript has 3 exons.
GAAACACCUUCCUAAUAUUGAGUUGCAGCUCCUUUAGCCCUCAGAACGACCGGGCAUGGACUACAAGGUGUCGAAAGCAACAUGGACUACAAGGUGUCGAAAGCAACAUGGACUACAAGGUGUCAAAAGCAACAUGGACUACAAGGUGUCGAAAGCAACAUGGAUUACAAGGUGUCGAAAGCAACAUGGACUACAAGGUGUCGAAAGCAACAUGGACUACAAGGUGUCGAAAGCAACAUGGACUACAAGGUGUCGAAAGCAACAUGGACUACAAGGUGUCGAAAGCAACAUGGACUACAAGGUGUCGAAAGCAACAUGGACUACAAGGUGUCGAAAGCAACAUGGACUACAAGGUGUCGAAAGCAACAUGGACUACAAGGUGUCGAAAGCAACAUGGACUACAAGGUGUCGAAAGCAACAUGGAAGCAAAGGGAUGCUGGCCCAUGUUGACACCAAUGCUUCCAUACAGUUGUGUCAAGUUGGUUAGAUGUCCUUUUGAUGUCCAUUCUUGAUACACCCAGGAAACUGUUGAGCGUGAAAACCCCAGCGGCGUUGCAGUUCUUGACACACUCAAACCGGUGCACCUGGCACCUACUACC